Molecule: ribosomal RNA, 496 nt
Filed under: uncultured bacterium
Lineage: Bacteria
Description: partial 16S ribosomal RNA
Rfam family: Bacterial small subunit ribosomal RNA
Source: RNAcentral
AUGAACGCUGGCGGCGUGCCUAAUACAUGCAAGUCGAGCGAACAGAUCAGGAGCUUGCUCCUUUGACGUUAGCGGCGGACGGGUGAGUAACACGUGGGUAACCUACCUAUAAGACUGGGAUAACUUCGGGAAACCGGAGCUAAUACCGGAUAACAUUUGGAACCGCAUGGUUCUAAAGUGAAAGAUGGUUUUGCUAUCACUUAUAGAUGGACCCGCGCCGUAUUAGCUAGUUGGUAAGGUAACGGCUUACCAAGGCAACGAUACGUAGCCGACCUGAGAGGGUGAUCGGCCACACUGGAAGUGAGACACGGUCCAGACUCCUACGGGAGGCAGCAGUAGGGAAUCUUCCGCAAUGGGCGAAAGCCUGACGGAACAACGCCGCGUGAGUGAUGAAGGGUUUCGGCUCGUAAAACUCUGUUAUUAGGGAAGAACAAACGUGUAAGUAACUGUGCACGUCUUGACGGUACCUAAUCAGAAAGCCACGGCUAACUACGUG